Molecule: non-coding RNA, 104 nt
Organism: Sclerotinia nivalis
Lineage: Eukaryota; Fungi; Ascomycota; Leotiomycetes; Helotiales; Sclerotiniaceae
Source: the annotation of a GenBank genome assembly
GGUGGUGUGGUGUAAUGGUAGCACGUGACGUUGUGGUUCAUCCUCUGCAGGAUAUCUCACGAAUGAUUUCCGUUUCAAUCUGGGUUCGAUUCCCAGCACCGCCA